UGCCAGCCGCCGCGGUAACACGGGGGGCGCAAGCGUUAUUCGGAUUUAUUGGGCGUAAAGCGCGCGCAGGCGGAAUAUCAAGUCAGGUGUGAAAUCUCGGGGCCUAACCCCGAAACUGCGCCUGAAACUGGUAAUCUAGAAUGUCAUAGGGGGUAGGGGAAUUUCACGUGUAGGGGUAAAAUCCGUAGAGAUGUGAAGGAACACCUGAGGCGAAGGCGCCUACCUGGAUGACUAUUGACGCUGAGGCGCGAAAGCGUGGGGAGCAAACAGGAUUAGAUA
RNAcentral lists this ribosomal RNA (279 nucleotides) under uncultured bacterium. RNAcentral describes it as "partial 16S ribosomal RNA". It matches the Rfam family "Bacterial small subunit ribosomal RNA", at positions 506 to 784 of the family's 1533-position model. The record is from RNAcentral.